Molecule: small nuclear RNA, 163 nt
Filed under: Propithecus coquereli (Coquerel's sifaka)
Lineage: Eukaryota; Metazoa; Chordata; Mammalia; Primates; Indriidae
Description: U1 spliceosomal RNA (ENSPCOG00000026728.1)
Rfam family: U1 spliceosomal RNA
About the family: U1 is a small nuclear RNA (snRNA) component of the spliceosome (involved in pre-mRNA splicing). Its 5' end forms complementary base pairs with the 5' splice junction, thus defining the 5' donor site of an intron.
Source: Rfam by way of RNAcentral
AUAUUUGCCUGGCAGGGGAGACACUAUGAUCACAAAGAUGGUUUUCCCAGAGUGAGGCUGAUCCAUUGCACUCCGGAUGUGCUGACCCCUGCAAUUUCCCAAAUGUGGGAAACUCAACUGCAUAAUUUGUGGUAGUUGGAGAUUGUGUUUGUGCUGUCCCCUG